Molecule: non-coding RNA, 30 nt
Filed under: Rattus norvegicus (Norway rat)
Lineage: Eukaryota; Metazoa; Chordata; Mammalia; Rodentia; Muridae
Source: RNAcentral
UAUCAGACGAGAUAGGAGUGGUUCUCUGAU